AUAUAAAUAAGUGAUUACAAUAUAAUAAACUUAAAACAUGAAAGGAGGCUCUAGUACUCCAUUGGACCACCUCUAAACUGGAUAUAAGAUGUGAUACAGGUGGGUAUGGAGACAGUCCAUAUGGUAUGUCCAGUUACAGCAACUGUGGACAGAUAUGCCAUAUAUGUCCACAGUAGUUGUAACUGGAUCUCUAGGGUGUACAAACUUGUAGGCUGUCGAAGUUGGUGUCCUAGUUCCACACGUACUGUUCUAUUGGUGAUAAAUCUGGCAACUAGGCAAGCCACGGAAGUGUGGCAACCUGGUGGAGGCAUGCACCUUUGCUGCAUAUU
RNAcentral lists this long non-coding RNA (329 nucleotides) under Androctonus crassicauda. The record is from RNAcentral. Lineage: Eukaryota; Metazoa; Arthropoda; Arachnida; Scorpiones; Buthidae.